RNAcentral lists this ribosomal RNA (253 nucleotides) under uncultured bacterium. RNAcentral describes it as "partial 16S ribosomal RNA". It matches the Rfam family "Bacterial small subunit ribosomal RNA", at positions 524 to 776 of the family's 1533-position model. The record is from RNAcentral.
UACGGAGGGUGCGAGCGUUAAUCGGAAUUACUGGGCGUAAAGCGCACGCAGGCGGUUUUUUAAGUCAGAUGUGAAAUCCCCGGGCUCAACCUGGGAACUGCAUUUGAGACUGGCAAGCUUGAGUCUUGUAGGGGGGGGUAGAAUUCCACGUGUAGCGGUGAAAUGCGUAGAGAUGUGGAGGAAUACCGGUGGCGAAGGCGGCCCCCUGGACGGAUACUGACGCUCAGGUGCGAAAGCGUGGGGAGCAAACAGG